This 700-nucleotide ribosomal RNA is filed under the name uncultured Nitrospira sp. RNAcentral's name for it is "bacterial SSU rRNA". It matches the Rfam family "Bacterial small subunit ribosomal RNA", at positions 62 to 754 of the family's 1533-position model. Lineage: Bacteria; Pseudomonadati; Nitrospirota; Nitrospiria; Nitrospirales; Nitrospiraceae. The record is from RNAcentral.
UCGAGCGAGAAGACGUAGCAAUACGUUUGUAAAGCGGCGAACGGGUGAGGAAUACAUGGGUAACCUACCCUUGAGUGGGGAAUAACUAGCCGAAAGGUUAGCUAAUACCGCGUACGCUCCUUGGACUUCGGUUCAGGGAGGAAAGCGCUGCCGAGGGCAGCGCGCUCUUGGAUGGGCUCAUGUCCUAUCAGCUUGUUGGUGAGGUAACGGCUCACCAAGGCUUCGACGGGUAGCUGGUCUGAGAGGACGAUCAGCCACACUGGCACUGCGACACGGGCCAGACUCCUACGGGAGGCAGCAGUAAGGAAUAUUGCGCAAUGGGCGAAAGCCUGACGCAGCGACGCCGCGUGGGGGAUGAAGGUCUUCGGAUUGUAAACCCCUUUCGGGAGGGAAGAUGGAAUGGGGUAACCCAUUCGGACGGUACCUCCAGAAGCAGCCACGGCUAACUUCGUGCCAGCAGCCGCGGUAAUACGAAGGUGGCAAGCGUUAUUCGGAUUUACUGGGCGUACAGGGAGCGUAGGCGGUUCGGUAAGCCCUCUGUGAAAUCUUCAGGCUUAACCUGGAAAAGUCGGAGGGGACUGCUGGGCUAGAGGACGGGAGAGGAGCGCGGAAUUCCCGGUGUAGCGGUGAAAUGCGUAGAGAUCGGGAGGAAGGCCGGUGGCGAAGGCGGCGCUCUGGAACGUUUCUGACGCUGAGGCUC